CAAAACUACGGUCUCAGUUCAGAUUGCAGGCUGCAACUCGCCUGCAUGAAGUUGGAAUUGCUAGUAAUCGCGAAUCAGAAUGUCGCGGUGAAUACGUUCCCGGGCCUUGUACACACCGCCCGUCACACCAUGAGAGUCGAUAACACCCGAAGCCUGUGAGCUAACCUUUUAGGAGGCAGCAGUCGAAGGUGGGGUUGAUGAUUGGGGUGAAGUCGUAACAAGGUAAC
RNAcentral lists this ribosomal RNA (227 nucleotides) under uncultured bacterium. RNAcentral's name for it is "partial 16S ribosomal RNA". It matches the Rfam family "Bacterial small subunit ribosomal RNA", at positions 1275 to 1500 of the family's 1533-position model. The record is from RNAcentral.